This 240-nucleotide ribosomal RNA is filed under the name uncultured bacterium. RNAcentral describes it as "partial 16S ribosomal RNA". It matches the Rfam family "Bacterial small subunit ribosomal RNA", at positions 94 to 334 of the family's 1533-position model. The record is from RNAcentral.
AGCGGCGGACGGGUGAGUAACGCGUGGGUAACCUGCCUCAUACAGGGGGAUAACAGUUGGAAACGGCUGCUAAUACCGCAUAAGCGCACAGUACCGCAUGGUACGGUGUGAAAAACUCCGGUGGUACAAGAUGGACCCGCGUCUGAUUAGCUGGUUGGUGAGGUAACGGCCCACCAAGGCGACGAUCAGUAGCCGGCCUGAGAGGGUGAACGGCCACAUUGGGACUGAGACACGGCCCAA